GCUGGCGGCGUGCCUAAUACAUGCAAGUCGAACGGAGAUUCUGUCGUAAUUCGUUACAGCGGAAAUCUCAGUGGCGAACGGGUGAGUAACGCGUUGGUGACCUGCCCCGGAGAGGGGGAUAACAGCUUGAAAGGGCUGCUAAUACCCCAUGAUGUCUAGAGGGUUAGAAACCUCUAGACGAAAGGCUUCGGUUGCUUCGGGAGGGGCCUGCGUCCCAUCAGCUAGUUGGUAGGGUAAUGGCCUACCAAGGCGAAGACGGGUAGGGGACCUGAGAGGGUGACCCCCCACAAUGGAACUGAAACACGGUCCAUACACCUACGGGUGGCAGCAGUAGGGAAUAUUGCACAAUGGGCGAAAGCCUGAUGCAGCAACGCCGCGUGCGCGAAGAAGGCCUUCGGGUUGUAAAGCGCUUUUCGGGGAGAAGAGAAAGGACGGUAUCCCCGGAAUAAGGAUCGGCUAACUACGUGCCAGCAGCCGCGGUAAAACGUAGGAUCCGAGCGUUAUCCGAAUUCACUGGGCGUAAAGCGCGUGUAGGCGGUUCGGUAAGUUGGAUGUGAAAGCUCCCGGCUCAACUGGGAGAGGACGUUCAAAACUGUUGGACUAGAGGGCGGAAGAGGGAGGUGGAAUUCCCGGUGUAGUGGUGAAAUGCGUAGAUAUCGGGAGGAACACCAGUGGCGAAGGCGGCCUCCUGGGCCGCACCUGACGCUCAGACGCGAAAGCUAGGGUAGCAAACGGGAUUAGAAACCCCGGUAGUCCUAGCUGUAAACGAUGUAGACUUGGUGUUGGUGGGGUAAAGCAUCAGUGCCGGAGCAAACGCGAUAAGUCUACCGCCUGGGACUACGACCGCAAGGUUAAACUCAAGGAAUUGA
RNAcentral lists this ribosomal RNA (869 nucleotides) under uncultured bacterium. Its description in RNAcentral is "bacterial SSU rRNA". It matches the Rfam family "Bacterial small subunit ribosomal RNA", at positions 35 to 913 of the family's 1533-position model. The record is from RNAcentral.